CGUCAGCUCGUGUCGUGAGAUGUUUGGUUAAGUCCUGAAACGGGCGCAACUCUUACUUUUAAAUUUUAACGUAUUAAAGGUUUCCUUUAAAUGCUUUAAAAGUACGGUCAAUGAUAAGUUGAAGGAAGGUAAGAAUGAAGUCAAGUCAAUGUGACCCUAAUAAAUUGGGCUACUUCAUGUGCUACAAUGAAAAUUACAAAAAGUGACAAAAAAGAGAUUUUAAGGUAAUCAACAAAAAUUUUCCCAGUUCGGAUUGUAGACUGCAACUCGUCUACAUGAAGUUGGAAUCACUAGUAAUCGCAAAUCAGCACGUUGCGGUGAACAUGUAACUUGACCUUGUACACACCGCCCGUCACUUGCAAAGAAUUAGUUCCGCUUGAAAAUUUUAAUAAAAUUCAUUGAGGGAUUGAUAAUUUGGAUGAAGUCGUAACAAGGUAGCUGUACGGGAACGUGUAGCUGGAACAAC
This 466-nucleotide ribosomal RNA is filed under the name Kryptoperidinium foliaceum. RNAcentral's name for it is "partial Bacterial small subunit ribosomal RNA". It matches the Rfam family "Bacterial small subunit ribosomal RNA", at positions 1053 to 1527 of the family's 1533-position model. Lineage: Eukaryota; Dinophyceae; Peridiniales; Kryptoperidiniaceae. The record is from RNAcentral.